UCAGAGCAGGCUGCGACGCCGGCGGCGGGCCAGAGCUGAAGCGGCGGAGGUGUGUAGCGGAGCCGGGCCUGGGCAGACGGGGGCCGAAGCACCAGGCUCUGCGUCGGCGGCUCCGGGGCGGGGGCGCCAGCGGCGAAGCCCCCUCCCCGGGGAGGCGGGGCCAGGCCGACGCCUGGGAAUCAUGCAUCAGAAGCUGCUGAAGAGUGCGCACUACAUCGAGCUGGGCAGCUACCAGUACUGGCCGGUCCUGGUGCCCCGAGGCAUCCGCCUCUACACCUAUGAACAGAUCCCGGUGUCCCUCAAAGACAACCCCUACAUCACCGACGGCUACAGGGCCUACCUACCCUCCAGGCUGUGUAUCAAAAGCUUGUUUAUUUUGUCCAACGAGACGGUAAACAUCUGGAGUCAUUUGCUGGGCUUCUUUCUCUUCUUCACGCUGGGGAUCUAUGACAUGACGUCCGUGCUGCCGUCGGCCAGCGCAUCCAGAGAAGACUUUGUGAUCUGCUCCAUCUGCCUUUUCUGCUUCCAGGUCUGCAUGCUUUGCUCGGUGGGCUAUCAUCUUUUUUCCUGUCAUCGGUCAGAAAAGACGUGUCGGAGGUGGAUGGCAUUGGACUAUGCAGGGAUCUCUAUCGGCAUCCUGGGCUGCUAUGUCUCGGGAGUAUUUUAUGCGUUUUAUUGCAAUAAUUACUGGCGCCAAGUGUACCUGAUCACCGUGCUCGCCAUGAUCCUGGCAGUGUUCUUCGCACAGAUCCACCCCAGUUACCUCACACAGCAGUGGCAGAGGCUCCGCCCCAUCAUCUUCUGCUCGGUGUCGGGAUAUGGAGUGAUCCCCACUCUUCACUGGGUUUGGCUCAAUGGAGGAAUCAGUGCUCCCAUUGUACAGGACUUCGCUCCCCGAGUGAUUGUGAUGUACGUGAUUGCUCUUCUUGCUUUCCUGUUCUACAUCUCCAAAGUCCCGGAACGGUACUUCCCAGGACAGCUAAACUACCUGGGGUCAAGCCACCAGAUCUGGCACGUCCUUGCAGUGGUGAUGCUGUACUGGUGGCAUCAGUCCACAGUGUACGUCAUGCAGUACAGACACAGCAAGCCUUGCUCUGACUUUGUGUCCCAUCUGUGACUCCAGAAAAGAGGCCAAGUGCAUUUUCUUAAAUCCUUAACCAUGAACUCUUGGAGAGCAGAGGACAUAACUGAGACAGACUCUAUGAUGAAAGAACUGAACAGAAGUUUGUGAUGAAACUUUUAAUGAUACAAAUAGUAAUAAUAAAACUCCAAAGGCAUUGGCUAUGAAGAAUAAGCGAUCCGUUUGGGAUUUAUUGCAUUUAAAGACGGCAGAUUAUUAAAACAGUAGGUAUGAUAAAUACAGUAAGAAAAUAACUUUAAAUCUCAAACAAAACAGUGAACAGAAUUCAAGACUAAGCAAUGUAAAGGCAAUAAGGUAACAAAAUUAGUGCUUUACUGGGUACAGGGAAAGUAACUGAAGUCUAUCUCAAACUCUUCCCGGCUACAUUUGAGGGCUUAAGUUACUUUAGCAAGUAUGUCUUAUAACAAUUAGAAAUAUAACUAAGGAUAUAAACCCAGUUUAUUUAAAAAUUAAAGUUAUUUGCUUAGUGGUACAUAAAAGGCUUCAGAAAAUUCAAGUUUAACAAAAAAAAAAAAAAAAAGGAAGUGUAAUCAAAGAAAGUGCACUUAAAGCCGUUUGCCAGCAAUUAAAGGGCUCUUCCAGGCUGGAGGUGUGGCUCAGCCCUAAAGCGCUUGCCCAGCAUGUGCAAGGCCCUGGGUUCAGUUCCCAGCACCGCAAAAGAAAGAACAAGUGGCAAUUACUCCUUCUAGUAUAGGAUGAUCUCUCAGUCACAAAAAGAACAUAGUAAUAAAAUCAGUCUUCCUGUAGCACUGUGAACUUUAAUUAAAAAAAAAUAACCUAAACCAGACCCAGCCCUCUGUAUUUUCAUCUACUUCUUCCUUUUAGUGGCUUUUGUAAACUUCGUCACUAGGAGUGAAUGCUCUUAAGAGAAACGAUUGCCUUUUUAAAUUCACAUUAAUUCCGUAGUGGAGAGCCUCGAUGUGCCUGUGUCUUUUUAUCUUAGUAGAGAACACCACCGAGUGUAAAUUUUUUCCAACAGUCAUCUGUUGUUCUCUCAGUAGACUCAGUAGACUGUCAACUCAGUAACUGAAUGUAAAUUGAUGACUAGUUUUGCUUAGAAAUAAAAGAAAAAGAAUGACAGAGUUCACUGCGCAUUCUACAUGUAUUAAACAGAUAAUACCUAACUCCCCACAGGUAGUGACAUUAAUACAUGUGCGCCUUCUGACAGUGCUUUAGUGAAGUGCCCAAAUCUGGAUAACCCAAGGGAGGCACACCCAAGACUGGCUCCACCUUCGUAUUUUCCGUCAGGAAGAGGAGAGUAGUCAGUCCCUGUUAAACAGGGUAGGACUGAUCGCAAGGUGCGCAGAUCCGAGAGCCACGUGACUUCAUAAAUGCCCAGGGUACACAGCUCAGGGGAGGGGCACUCAGUGCUUAAAAUUCUGGUCGGUUCCAUUCUCACCCAACUUGGAGUAGUCCUUUUCUCCAACUACAUACCGAGAACGUCUGUGCCUUAGUAGAUCCAUUUCUUAAGUGCCCUGAAAGAUCCUCUGGUAAUACUAGCGUUUUGCUGACGUGAUCAAAGUAAAGCAAGUAGUCCACUUUUUAAGAAAAGAUUCCAAGUUAAUGAGCACAGUUAAAGCUUCUAGGUGACACCUUUGGCCUCAGACUUUCGAGCUGGGUUCCUAACGUGACUUCCCUUCGAUGUUCAAGUCUAACAGGUUUAGUUAGAACUGCUUUGCACACUGGGAAGCACAAGGCACACCCAAAUGACAUUCUUUAAACCAGAACUGGGCCGUCCCAUAACAGAGCCAGCCUUUCAGUGAGUGCUGGGUGCUGGGUGCUGGGUGCUGGGUGCUAAGUGCUCUCUUGUGCAAGAGAAAAUGUAACGCAAAGGAGCCGCCCCUUGGACCUCCAGUGAAACAGUCUGUCCAAUGAGAUGGUCUCGAGAGGCGCGUCACCCGCUGGGCUGUUGGAGGCAAUGUAAACAUUUUAGGCUGUGGCACAGCUGUUUCCUAAGGAUUUGUCCAGCAUUAGCCGGAGGGGCUGCGAGUGAAUCACUUCUAAGUAUUCAGUGCAGUGAAAGGCGAGUGGAACUCUGACUUCAUAGUCACAACUCAUUACUUUAGGAGGAAAGCAUUUCUGUUCGGUAGCGUAGAGGGCCUACUGCCAUUUGCAUUAGUGAGAAUAAUCAACCUGAGAACCAGACAGAAAGGUGCAAACACAGCCUCUGCCUUUGGCACAAGGACAUUAAGUGGUGCAGCCCUGUUCUGGGUGGCGGUGUGACGUGACCUGUCCUGUCCACACUACCCUGGCUGAGCUGGCAGAGGAGGAGACAACCAUAAAAAGGGACCUCGGCUUGGUUUUGUGUUUCACUUCUUUCCAGGUUCUGAACUCUGAGAGUAGGCAAAUGAUGUGUCCUCUGUGGGCACUAAAGUUAAGGUUUUAAGAAGAUUACUUAUUAAGGGACACUAACUGGGGCAAAGUUAAAACACAGCUACCAAUAGCAAUAGCUGUUGAUCUAGAAACUUCGAAUGCUCAUCUGUAAAGACAUCUAAUCAUAACUUAGGACAGACAGAGGAAGCACGGACAGUACAUUCACAUUAACUGAUGUAUAACUAUUACCACUGACCACAACUACAAAAUUUCAAGUUUCUCAUUAGGACUGGUGAUGUAUUUUAAAGGCAAUUUGGUAGUUUAGUUCUUUUCACUAUCAAUGCAAUCGGGUAGCAGAAUUAAGCUCCUAGUCCCACCAUCUAGUUCUUCCACCCACUGAGGGUCUGGCUGUCAGUGCUGAGGGACUGGGUGGCACUGCUGGAGCACUGUAGUAGAACUGCCCCCUCUCACCCUGAAGGAAGGAACUGCAGCCCAGGACUCUGCCCUGCUGGAGGAGGGAAGUGCUGUCAUAAAGUGUGUCAGUAAAUGCAACAUGAUUUUACAUUGUAAACUUCUUUAAAAAAUUAAAGUUUCAGCUACAUUGUUUCUGAAAUUAAAUUUCUAUAUACCCUGCCCCUCCCCUUUCUAUGAAGGUACUUCAGUAGGGACAUGAUGAUAAAGGUUUUGGCAAAUACCCACUCAAAGACAAAGUAUUUCUCAAGUACCAGAUGGUGCUUUUCUUUUUGAUGUGUCAUUCUUUUACAUUUUUUUUUCAAAUGCCAGAUAUUUCUCUUUAUAUUUUUGUUCUAGGCUUCUAUUAAGCAUUCCACAUUGUAAAAAUUUUUUCUUGACAGAUUAAAAACCGCAUAUAUAUUACCAUGUAAUGUCUUGCUCUAUACACCGUAGAAGGGCUAGACUGAGCUAAUAUAUACAUCAUUUCAUAUCCUUAUCAUCACAGAGUCCAUUGUUAAUGGCACUUGGUUUUUUGUUUUUAAUGCAACAGUUUUUUAGGCACAAUAGUCAGUUUCUUGUGGCUCUACCUUACAGAGAAGUGUAUGGAGAGCACACUCUAGACUCUUCCCUCGUGGGUGGAAACAGUCAGCCUGCCUGGCUUCAAAUGCUGGAUCUAGGGUGUGCCCCUACGUGACAUCUUGAUAUCCGAAGUGAUGGCUCUCCUGUCCCUAGCGGUACACACCAGCUUUCCCAGGAAGCCCCACGGGUGAACCUCUGAGCUGUCAGUAGCAAAAGCCCUUGGCUUUCGAUUUAGGCCUUCUCCUGCUUGAAGAAGGCAUCAACUUACUACCCUGUACAAAUAAUUCCAUUUGGUUUAUUUAAAAAUCACCUAUCCUGAUUAACCUGUGAGAGUGAGUGAAUGAUAUAAACAACUAUACAAAUACAUUUCUUCCAGAUUCAUAAAACUAUUCAUACUUUUUUGAACAGGAGUAUCGCUGAGUCCACCUGAAGUGUCUACUGUUUAGAAGGGAAUGGAGCAGCACCGAAGGGGUCUAAUUCCACCGGCUGGGACUGCUGCGGAGAGACGCUCUGCACCACGAGUUCUGUAAAGGGCACGGCACCAAAGUCAUCCAUUCUCAAUGCGUCUGCGCUGUGGAAUGACCCAUGUACUGAAUUCUGUCGUGGUCUCCCAGGCAGAAUGGCGGUGUGAUCCACACAGAUGUCGCUUAGGCCCUGAUGGGUCUGGUGCCACAAGUCUGGAGGAUGAAAAGGCUUGGCACCAAAAGGGUCCAGCAGACUCUCAUCGGGUGGCAGGACGCUGGCCCUGUCUUUGCCAUCGGUCAGCGCGACGCUGAUGUUCUCCUUGGAGUCCGAAAUUGUUAAGAACUCAUUGCUGCUUUGUGAGUCUCUGCGGCCCACCCUCUUGUGCCUGCGGGCCCUCUCGGGUGUGCGGUAGGGAGGCUUCAGGGGCUUCUUGGCGCUGGUGGGUGUGCCGUGAUGCCGCUUCCCGUUGCUUUUCGACACAUCCUGCUUCGUGCGCCUCUGGCGAGAGGACAGUUUCUGCAAGCUACGCUGCUUGACUUUUUGCUGCUGCUGCUGACUCCCGGUUAUUUCCUCAAAGGGCACGAGCCCAAAAACAUCCUCCUUGCUUUCACUUUUACUGGCUGCUGUGGAAAAUGGCUGAAAGGGAGUGGAGCCAAAUAUGUCUACACUUCUGGGUCGUGCAGGCAGGGGGCGAGUGUCUGGCCGCACGGCGGGCCAGUCCUGUACGGUGACCUUCUUGCUGAAGGGUGCCUUUGUGAACACGUCAUAUUCCUCCUGCUCUGGAAACAUCUGCUGGGAGACGCUCUUCCCACUCCCUCUGUGCUGCAGCUCUGGAGCAGGCACUGCAAAGAAGGGAACAGCACCGAACACAUCGAACUCCUGACUGGGAGUCAGCGCGGGUGAACUGGCAGGCUCCGGGGCACCACCAGGUUUGUUUCUGCGCAAGGAGCUCGAUUCUCCUCCCUUGGCUUUUGCCUGUUCACACUCCGAGUCAGAGCUGUGUUUGUCGUCCUCCUCCUCAUCUUCGGAGUCCAUGAGCAGAGGCCUGUGACCCAGGUUCUCUGGCUCAGUGUCCUCAUCAUUAAAGUCCCCGUGUUCUCCCUGUGCGUCUUCAUCCUCUUGUUCUUCUUCACUGCUCUUGGGAGAAGGGGGGUCUGAUUCAAAUUCACUUUCAGACUCGUCAUUUCCCUUCUGUGCGUGACCCCUAACUACAGGAUUCUCUGAGGUUUUCUGUCCAGCUUUACAUAUCGGACUUGAGCUUCCAUUUUUGGUUGGGUGUGCAGUGAUAUUUUUCUGGUUUGGAGAAUGUUCCGUUUUCUUUUCAGGAGAACCUAAAAGUUCAAAGAAAAAUCAUUACAGUCCUCAGAGCAACUUGGAACAUCCAUUAUGUGACUAGCUACCUAUCAGGAAUCUUUUAGUGGCUCUGAGACGUUCCGCCCUGUGUGUGGUGAACUGUCCUGUCCUGCCUUCAGCUGCAAACUCCGAUGUCUUCUAUGAUACUACCUAUUACAGGCAUAGCUGAGCUCUUCCUGUGACAACUCAGGAACGGAGUAGCAACCCGGGUCCAUCAAACGUGCUGUCAGAAUCAGGACCUCAGCACACUUGAGGGGGAUCAACAAUGCUGUGCUGUCCUAACACCUCUCUGUUCUGUAGUAUCACACCUUACGACUCGCUGACGGACCCCGCCCACAGGACAGACCUCCAGGACUACAGAGAUGCCCUGACGCUUGGUGACUCAUAGAACCCUCAACUGCAGGCUGCUCUAGUGUUGUGGCUGCCAACCACUCCUACUUAGCAUCUCUCUGUGUCCUAGCUCUGCGCACACGUGUUACUAAAAUGACUGCUCCAAGGUUAGCCACUGGCAUAGAUAGGAAGGAGUAUAAUGAAAAUUCAGUCACCAUAUGGAGGCAUUUUUAGCUCAGAAUUCAAUUACUUGCAUUUUCUUACUACAUUUAACGAACAAAUAUCUUUUUUUAGGAGUUUGCACUCAGUGUCAGUACUGAAAAUUUUCCAAUGUGCAGGAAAAUCACAGGAGGGAAAAUGGGUGCAUAAAACUAAACCUCCCUCUGGCAGUCAGUAAAGGUCUCCCUAAGGAGCGGUCAGGACUGAACCACGAGAAAGGGCCAGCCAUACAAAGGGCAAGCUGCUAGCUGCUCCAGACCACAAGCUCUGGUACCCUGAGGCAGUGAAAGCGGGCAAGUGUGGCUGAAGCAUGGUGAGAAAAGGGGGCUGCUACACUGCUCGGAACCCGUGUGAAAGGCUAAGCGUUCCCAUGUGCGUUGUAGCCUCAGUGCUGGGGAGACAAGGAGGAGCCACUGGUGCUCCCUGGCGAGCUGGCCUAGCCCACUAUGGGAGUUCUAGGACAGUGAGAGACCUUAACUUAAUGAAAGAGAGGGAGGGGGACAGAGCAUAUGGGACAGUGGGAAAGGAACAAAGGACAAAGGGUGUUCAGAGAGCAAGAACACUCAUCUCUAGGGCUGACACCUGAGGUUAGUCCCUGGGAUCCUCAUGGUGACUCCCCAAGCUGUGCUCUGACCUUCUCAAGAGGGCUAGACAAGUGUGUGUGCACACACUCCUACACUAACUAAAUGUAGGGAUGACUUCUUAUGGUGGGCAGUACUUGAGAGGUGACACCGUGUUGUCCUCAGUGUCCACAGCGGGUGGAAAGACAAGGGACUAGAAAGAGAGCGUGAGCGAGGUGUGCUACUGUUUACCUGGGAAGAAUGGAUUAGGAACUGAGCAGAACAUUGCUCUGGGGCCCCAAUGCACAUGUGAAGUGCUUUAACACGAAGCUUAGUUUGAGCUGCAGAAGACAGAUUCGGAAGGUAUCACUUUGUGAUACACAGAGAGAAGGCACAGACUUCAGGGUUAUCACCUAAUGAGAUAAAGGGCAAAACUGAGCCCGAGGGCUGAAACCCAGGAGUCGGCCAAGGAGGAGAAGCUGUCGGUAAGCGGUGCCAAACCAGGUGGGCAGAGUGCCUGGAAGCAGGACAAGUGUGUCCAGGGGAGUGACAGGCACCUGAGCCACACAGGGCAGCCCUAAGCAAUGGGGCCAAAGAAAAUGGCCCUAGGAGCCUAGUCACCUUGUGCAGUUUAGUGGUGAGGCAAGAGUGGCUGAUGGUGCAGACAAGCCCAUCGGGCUAUACCAACAUCAUGCCGUCCUCUGCCCAGUCCUUAAGAUUAGCUGAAAGCUUCAGUGCUGUUCAUCAUCCCAACAAACCAAAACCAAUGAGAUGCAGGUUCUCAUUUUCACUGUUCACUCACAUGGUGCUCCUCUGACAUAAAAAACAAGCAAACAGAAAACAGCAACAAAAAGUUACCUUAGGAGUAAUGGUGAACUCAUGGGCUUCUCUGAAGGCAAAACACACAUGGCUCCGGAAGAGAGAGUUACCCUCACUGAAGAACACUUCUCUAAGACGUUUAAGCCCUCACAGACGGCCAUGCAUACACCACGCACUCUGCCCAGACCCCUGGGGGACCAUGGAUUAAGCCUUUGACAAGAAUGAGACAAGCCGAUUGGUCUCAGGCAGCUCAACCUAGGGAAGGAUGCACCUGGCGCUCUGCCUCCAUUCUGUCUCGCCUGCAGGUUGCUACACAAAAGAAUCUAACUUUAUGGAACCCGGAAGGCCCCACAUUUGCGUUUCUCUACCUUCAUGAAGUAUGACCUGUUAACCUGUAUGAACAGAUGAGGAGGCAGGUCCUCGGGUAAAUGCUACCCUGCAGCUCCUCUAGAAAACGCUCCAUCCCCAGAGGCCUCCAGAACUCUUAACACAGCAGGGCUCACAGAGAGGCCAUCCACUGCACCUUUCUGUUCCCCUCACACCCCGAGUCCUCUCGUCCCAAGAUGACUGUUCGGUUCCACCGUGGCGGCUCCGUUCUGUCCAGAAGGCACCGGCUGCUUUUCCACUCUUCCUUCUGACCGCCCUUCCUCAACUACGUAGGAUCAGAUCCACAGAAGCAAACCUUUCUGCAGUGUAGAGAGCAGCACAGAGCCACCUCCAUAACUAACUGUGGGCAUAUAUUUGUUUGGUGUUUCCUUCCCAUCUUCAUGGACCCUUUCAAGUACCAACACAACCCAUGGUUUCUUGGCAAAGCUCGCUAAGACGAUGCACGUGCGUCCUUACGAUCGAGAGAAUGUCUAGGCGGUUUCUAGUUUUCUCACAGUUACAACAGGAAAACCAAGAUCUGUGCAUGUUUCCCUUGAGGGAGCAAAAUGGGAAAGCUACCCCUCUCUGGUGUCGCUUUCACUUUAGUCCACGUAGUACUGUUAUUUCCUUCCCACUUAUAACUAACAAAGAGCCAAGAGAAACACUCACCAGGAUGACAGCUAUUCUACUCUUAAACCAUGAAUGAAAUAGGGUGACAACAGGUUUUUAUUCCAUUUGCCUUGUUAAGAAUGCACCAAGGGAACAGGAGAGACUGCUUAGCUGUUAGGAGCACUGUCUGCUCUUCCUAAGACCUGGGUCAAUACCCACCACCCACAGGGAGGCUCACAACCACCUGGGGAAUCUGAUGCCCUUGUCUGGUCUCCUGGAAGACUGCAUACAUGUAGUACGCAGACAUACAUGUAGCCAAAACACCCAUACACUAACAAUAAAAGGAAAUCUUAAAGGGGGGAGGGUACCGACAGUGCCUGACACUAAAUGGGCUUUCUCAUCACCUGCAACAAGAGGCAAAUCACUUCACUUUCCCCAGCACACUCAACCAGCUUCCAGUAACGCGUAGGCACCAUGGGUGACUGACUCUAAUGUGAGCGAACACAUGAAGAAGCAAAAGGGAAGAAGAAAUUCUUGGCAAAAAAGAGAGAAAGGAAAAAAGAAAAGAAGAAACAACCAAAACAAAACCAAACCAAACCCCACAAUACUGAUCUACUUGAGAACUGAUCAAAAGCAAGUAUAUAAGCAGAUGUACAUCCACGUACCCAGAGUGAACUUGUAAUCCUGGGGAGUUCAUCUCUUUAAAUAUAACAGGAACACAGUGCAACAAGUAGGACAGAAAUGCUUUCAAAAUGAGCAGACAAAGUCACAAGCCACCAUGUUCGCCAGCUCCAGGACUGGCUUUGUAUAGACAGUGAUUUUAUUAGAGUCUCUCUCCUUCUUAAAACUAACACAACAAUAAAAGGCACUUCUCACAUCCCGUCUUACCCUACAUUCUCAGACCCCAGGGAGUCUCCACAUUCUUGAAAUGUCCCCAUCCCCCCAGUGCCUGCUCUUUUGUAAGCUACUUGAGUAAUGAGGCAAAGGCCAGCACCAGCAUCCAGGCCACCAGGCCACACAAGCUCACACAAGUCAGACUCUAGCACCAUCUGCUGAGGAAGCGGACUGCCAGCUGCCAGCUACCGGAAUCCCAGAUAUGAUCCACUUUCUGCACCGGCAGCCCAGCCAGUCACCCGCCAUUCCUUUACUGUGAACCUACUUAAGAGCAGAAAUAUGUAAACUAUACAAAAAUAAAAUCAGUUCCAGGAUCCCGUGGUUUUGGUUACUCCCCCAGAACCUCAAAUCCUGACACCUGUGUGUCUUAUGAACAAUGGGAUGAAUGCAUGACCUCCUUCUUCCUCCUGUGUAUCUUAAACCAUCUCUGUACAGACGGUUACAGACCCCAGCACAGCACCAUGCUUCAUACACCGUCGCCUGUAUAGGGGGUGGUAAGAGUGCACCCAGUAUAGGCACACCUUCUUUUAAUAUUUUUAGUGCGGAGUGGGCUGGGUCCGAGGGUGGAGAAAGACAACUGUAUCUUACAGCUUUUAGCCCUAUGCCACGGCACAAAGACAGCUCUCCCCAGGCCCCACCAGUCACCCAAAAGGCACUUCAAGCUGGCUGGAGUACCUUAACUUUAAUACACAGUGCCAGCUACAUAAUGACUUCUGGCUAAAAAGUGUCCUCGGCAUAUACAAACCAUUUCUUUGUCAAACAUAUUCCUCUAAUUUGUGAAAAAGAAAAAUUCAGAUGCCGAAAUAAAUACAGAAUGAGGACAAUGCCUCAGAUAUUCCUCUUUGCUUCUGGGAACAGAUUGCUUCUUCCCAGCUGUUAGAUUAAAUAAUACAUAUUUGAUUUAUUAUGAAAUUUAAUCAGGAUUAUCUCACUGCUAAAGUUAAAUUUCCUGAGAGUAUAGCCCAAAUAUGCUGCUUUGAAUUUCAGCAUCUCCUGUCGUCAUAAUCAUCUGAGAUUUGUAUUGUUAAUGUAAAAAUAGCAGUUUGAAGCAGGUGGAGACCUGGAACAGUCACAGGAAGUACUGGGCACGCUACUCACAGCACAGACCCCGAGACUGGCCCUUCUCUUGGUUCCACCGUUAGUGACUGGCCUCAUGUACUGGGCAGCUCAUCUGAUUUGGGUCUAACUGCCCUGUGAGCACAGCAGCGCUGUGAGCGGCACUGAGAGGGCUGGGAACGACAUGCUAGGCUUUGGAGUGUUUGAGCAAGAGGCAGUAUCAUCGGUGACAGGAAAGCAAGCGUAACAUCUUGUUAUAGAUUUAAUAAGCAAACGGCAGGGGUAAAUCUGUAUGGCCAAGCUGAUAUGUAUUAAUAAAUAAUAGCAAACCAAUCCUUUGUGAGCUAUUGAUUAUAUUCAGUCUCCCAAAUAAGAAAAUAAGUAAAUCUUAGUUGAAACAUAUUAAAUAGACUUUUAGUGAAAAAAUUCAAAA
Rattus norvegicus (Norway rat) is the source of this 11590-nucleotide non-coding RNA. The record is from RefSeq and is a predicted model, not a curated record. NCBI's taxonomy places the organism in Eukaryota, Metazoa, Chordata, Mammalia, Rodentia, Muridae.